UAAAAGAGCUUCGUAGGCCGGCGUGUCGCGUUUUGCUGUGAAAAGACCCGGGGCUUAACUCCGGUUUUUGCAGUGGAUACGGGCAUGCUAGAGGUAGGUAGGGGAGACUGGAAUUCCCUGGUGUAGCGGUGAAAUGCGCAGAUAUCAGGAGGAACACCGGUGGCGAAGGCGGGUCUCUGGGCCUUACCUGACGCUGAGGAGCGAAAGCAUGGGGAGCGAACAGGAUUAGAUACCCUGGUAGUCCAUGCCGUAAACGUUGGGCGCUAGGUGUGGGGACUUUCCACGGUUUCCGCGCCGUAGCUAACGCAUUAAGCGCCCCGCCUGGGGAGUACGGCCGCAAGGCUAAAACUCAAAGGAAUUGACGGGGGCCCGCACAAGCGGCGGAGCAUGUUGCUUAAUUCGACGCAACGCGAAGAACCUUACCAAGGUUUGACAUCACCCGUGGACUCGCAGAGAUGUGAGGUCAUUUAGUUGGCGGGUGACAGGUGGUGCAUGGCUGUCGUCAGCUCGUGUCGUGAGAUGUUGGGUUAAGUCCCGCAACGAGCGCAACCCUUGUUCCAUGUUGCCAGCACGUAAUGGUGGGGACUCAUGGGAGACUGCCGGGGUCAACUCGGAGGAAGGUGGGGAUGACGUCAAGUCAUCAUGCCCCUUAUGUCUUGGGCUGCAAACAUGCUACAAUGGCCGGUACAAUGGGCGUGCGAUACCGUAAGGUGGAGCGAAUCCCUAAAAGCCGGUCUCAGUUCGGAUUGGGGUCUGCAACUCGACCCCAUGAAGGUGGAGUCGCUAGUAAUCGCGGAUCAGCAACGCCGCGGUGAAUACGUUCCCGGGCCUUGUACACACCGCCCGUCACGUCAUGAAAGUCGGCAACACCCGAAACUUGCGGCCUAACCCCUUGUGGGAGGGAGUGAGUGAAGGUGGGGCUGGCGAUUGGGACGAAGUCG
This 941-nucleotide ribosomal RNA is filed under the name Nocardiopsis sp. YM12. RNAcentral's name for it is "bacterial SSU rRNA". It matches the Rfam family "Bacterial small subunit ribosomal RNA", at positions 560 to 1488 of the family's 1533-position model. Lineage: Bacteria; Bacillati; Actinomycetota; Actinomycetes; Streptosporangiales; Nocardiopsidaceae. The record is from RNAcentral.